AUGGUUUGGCUUCUUGAUGAUGUCUACGACACGAAACACCAGGCCUACAUGAUGCGCGAGAAGGAGAUGAAGCUUGAACCUUUGAAGAUUCGGUAUCACGGGGUCUCUGGUCCUGCCAUGCCUUACGAUGAGCGGUACACACCGUACAUCAAGCAGGCAGGACUACUCCCGUGGAUUCAGUUGGUCAGCCGGUCCACGCCGAAUCUGAACGCUCCACUGGUGUCCGCUCUUGCUGAUCGGUGGAGGCCGGAGACGCAUAGUUUCCAUCUUCGGACCGGGGAGAUGACCGUGACGCUCGAGGAUGUCUCGUUGAUCACCGGUCUUGCUAUCGACGGGAUGCCUCUCUGUAUGAGCACCGAUUCUGAUGGGUGGCGCGAGCAGAUGAUUGCUCUUAUCGAUAUGGCUCCUACUGAGGCUGAGGCUGAUGUAGAGGAGGGAGAAGAGAAGAAGAGCUGCUUUCACGUGGAUUCAAACUCACUUUGCGACGUGCCCUCCGGAUGCCACUGA
This 507-nucleotide ribosomal RNA is filed under the name Triticum aestivum (bread wheat). RNAcentral's name for it is "partial small subunit ribosomal RNA". The record is from RNAcentral. Lineage: Eukaryota; Viridiplantae; Streptophyta; Magnoliopsida; Poales; Poaceae.